GAUGAACGCUAGCUACAGGCUUAACACAUGCAAGUCGAGGGACCGGCGCACGGGUGAGUAACACGUAACCACCCUGCCCUUUACUCGGGGAAAGCGUUUCGAAAGAAAGAUCAAUACCCGAUAUAAAGGAUGGGGGUGGGUUGCAUUGGGUUGUUGGUGAGGUAACGGCUGACCAAGCCUUCGAUGGAUGGGGGGUCGGAGAGGAAGGUCCCCUGCAUUGGAGCUGAGGCACAGUCCAAACUCCGACGGGGGGCAGCAGUGAGGUAUAUUAGGCGAUGAGCGCUGGUCUGACCCAGCCAAGUAUCGUGAAGGGUGAGGUCUUAUUGGUCGUAAACUUCUUUUGAAUAAGACUAGGUAUUAUAUGAAUAAGGAUCGGCUAACUCCGUGCCAGCAGCCGCGGUAAUUC
This 406-nucleotide ribosomal RNA is filed under the name uncultured bacterium. Its description in RNAcentral is "partial 16S ribosomal RNA". It matches the Rfam family "Bacterial small subunit ribosomal RNA", at positions 28 to 526 of the family's 1533-position model. The record is from RNAcentral.